Molecule: ribosomal RNA, 254 nt
Filed under: Phyllorhiza punctata
Lineage: Eukaryota; Metazoa; Cnidaria; Scyphozoa; Rhizostomeae; Mastigiidae
Description: partial 16S ribosomal RNA
Rfam family: Bacterial large subunit ribosomal RNA
Source: RNAcentral
CAAAAACAUAGCCCUAUAACUAACAAUAUAGGGUGAAACCUGCUCAAUGGCUAUAUAUAAAAAAUAAUAGUAGUUAAAUAGCCGCGGUAACUCUGACCGUGAUAAAGUAGCAUAAUCACUCGUCAUUUAAUUGGUGACUGGAAUGAAUGGUUAAACGAAUCCCCAACUGUCUCAAUAAUUAGAUUUAUGAAAUUAAAAUAAUAGUGAAGAUGCUAUUUAUUAAUUGUAAGACGAAAAGACCCUAUCGAGCUUUA